UAACCUGCCCAAGAGACUGGGAUAACACCUGGAAACAGAUGCUAAUACCGGAUAACAACACUAGACGCAUGUCUAGAGUUUAAAAGAUGGUUCUGCUAUCACUCUUGGAUGGACCUGCGGUGCAUUAGCUAGUUGGUAAGGUAACGGCUUACCAAGGCAAUGAUGCAUAGCCGAGUUGAGAGACUGAUCGGCCACAUUGGGACUGAGACACGGUCCAAACUCCUACGGGAGGCAGCAGGC
Molecule: ribosomal RNA, 240 nt
Filed under: uncultured bacterium
Lineage: Bacteria
Description: partial 16S ribosomal RNA
Rfam family: Bacterial small subunit ribosomal RNA
Source: RNAcentral